Molecule: long non-coding RNA, 17418 nt
Filed under: Musa acuminata (dwarf banana)
Lineage: Eukaryota; Viridiplantae; Streptophyta; Magnoliopsida; Zingiberales; Musaceae
Source: RNAcentral
AGCUUCUCUUCUCUCUUUGCAUCUCAUUCUUAAGCUUAUAUCCGGCCUGGUAUUCUACUUGCUUUCCGCCGUGAUGGGACUAGGCUUCAAUUAUCCCCUUUACUUGGACAAAGAACUAGAAGGUCAAGAAAGAAUCCAACUCCAGAAAUAUAUAUCCAUCAGCAGCAUUUUCCCUUUAUUAAUGGCUUUUCUUUCUCAUAAGGUUUUUCUGUAUGAAUGGAAUCUGAAAGGAAUGGUUACGUAGGCUUUACUGUAGAAAGGAAUGUUACGUAGGCUUUACUGUAGAAAGGAAUGUUACGUAGGCUUCCAAGGUUCCUAUGAAUAGAAUCUUGCUGACUUUGGAGAUCUUUAUUCUAGAGUGGGUCUUCCAAUCUUACUUUUCUUAUUUCGAUGGACAAAACAAGGUAAGAAUGCGAAAAAGCUAUUGACUAAAGAGAAUAGGUAAUGUCAUUGUAAUUGAAAUAGGGUAAUUGAAUAGUCAUUUCAUUCUGAAAAGGGUCUUUCUUUAUCUCUGUAGUCCUUGACUCACUCGCUUUCUAACCAACCCGACGAGUUGAGUUACUUAUCCUUACCUGGCUAGCUAGUCUAAAGAAGUAUGACAUAUCACUGAUUUACCUUGCAGGCUCUCUUCCUCUUCCACUGUUACAUGAGUGCGAACCCUCCUUUUCCGAUUCUGCAUCAAUAUAAUGGAGUGGAGUAGAUCCUCAUUAUUCCACAGCAAUUCCAUUCGAGUUUGAACCCUCGAGUCAGUAGAUACUGGUUUCUAAUAAGGAGUGAAAGCGUCAUCUUCAAAAGUAGGAAUAAGGCUUGAUCUCGUCCCUUCAAUGUCCCCUGGUAGGCUAAACCGGCAAGAGAUAGCAGUCUAUACCUUAAAGCUCUAAGUCAAUAAGUCGGAAGGCUACUAAUAGAAAGAACAGAGCUCAUUUUCUCUCACCUCGGGAAAGGCCUGCCUAUUAAAGACAUAAGUGCAUCAAAGCCCCUUCCUGCUUUUGGGGAGCAAGUCAUAUUCUUUUUUCUACAAGAUAUCCUAGAACGUGCUACUGACAACAAGGAAGUCGGUAUUGUUUGCUUACAUGGUAAAUAACUCCAAAUCUAUGAUUGGGGCUACUAAAUUCAGAGUGAUCUGUCUAUUCAAGAAAAUAGCUUUUUGAUUAGUUUCAAAAACCCCAAACCUUGAUUUCUUGUUUCUUGGAUCAAGGGGGCUCCGUAGAGCUUCACUAUGCCCACCCGCUCCUUGAAGUAGAGCCUCCAUCAAAGCACCUGUACCCUAUCGGGGUAGCAUCUUUUCCUACCGGCCACAAGCUUGAAUCUUGACCCGCUUCUGAAUCUGAAACCCAGACUGACUGCUUCUUAACUUGCUUGCGUGAAGUGGUAUCCAUUGCGGCUUCUACCAAAGGGGCUUUCAAUGCUUUCAAAGAAUUCCAUGAUGAAUCGGGUUGCUGAAAACAAACCCCUUUUCUAAAGCUUUCCUAUCUAUUAAGUAAGAAAACUUAUGAAGUAACGCUUCUUUGAUUCAAGAGCACAUUCUCCUUCGGCAAUUUGAAAGCACUAGCGAUCCUAUCCUAUACCAGUCACUUAUGAUCGCUUCUAUCUCGGCUUUCUUUCUGUUGACUUUGGACUCAAUCUUUCAAAGGUGGAAGCGCUAACUAGUCUGUCUCACCUGGUCUCAAUGGAGAUGUGUAGGGUUCAGGACAUAACCCUCGUCCGUCUGCUACCAAGCCAUAAUCAAGUUCCAAAAAGGACUGAUGGCGAUCGACGAAUGCGUGCUCCGUAGCUGUUUUGAAUGAACGUCGUCUUUCUCAGACCGUGUAAGCUUAUAACCACUUUAUGGCUGUAUUGCAGUUGUGGAUUCAGAACAAACUUAGGAGAGAGAAAGUUCUUAGGACCUCCUUUUCUGAUAUCACGAUAUCUAAGAGUUUAAUGGACUGUGAAAAGGAAGUGAAGACAAGAAUAGAGGAAGAAUUCAGAAGGCAAGAAGAAACUACACUCGACCCAGAAAUAAGACUAUUGCCUAUAUAAUAUAGAUCAAAGAAUCAAGAAAUCAAUUUCGAAAGAAAAUAAGAUAAGAUCAUGUAUAUAAUUGUUAUUCAUAUAUUCUUAUUCAUUUGUGUGCUUAUUAUUAUGAGAUUUGGUUGGAUUAUUCCUUCUAUAUUAAUAUCCAUUCUUAUGAAAACUCUUUCUGCCCUAACUGCCUCGCUCUGUAACCCGGCGUUAUUUCCCUGAUAGUUCUUCUUCCUUCAAUCGAGUUGGAGUUAUUAUUCUCUCAAUAGAAAUAUCAGAAUGAUAGCAGCUAGUUUGAUUCGAGUGAUAAGGCCCCGGCCCUCAAAAGAGUCUGACUUCUUAAUCCCAUCCCCAACAUUCUAGCCAUAUAGUAGCUGUGAGAAUUGCCAGCCCUAUACUAUAGUGCCAAAAGGGAAUCUCCUAUUGAUUGUAUAAGUUAGAGUUUCCAGCCCUCCGAUAGGCUGCUUUCUUACCUGUUAUGAAGAAGACUCAUACUAUAGAUAGAUAUGCUUGACCUAAUAUGAUAGAUAUGCUUGACUCUCUCUUUCUGGGCAAUUCAUCGAUCAGUUAAUACAGCUGGUUUGUUGGAGAUAGCAGGUUAUCGAGCAAUAAAGCUUACUUAGGAAAGCUCGAGUUAUAGGCGAGUUAUAAGUCCGUCCUUCCAAUUUCACAGUUGCUAUAUGAUAGUCGCACUUAUAGGUAUUUUAGGCACGAAAGCAGGAUAGGAAAGAUGCUUCCUACGCGAGCUCAAAUCCAUUGCAGCAAGAAAGAUCAAGAAAAGAAACGGAUUCGCUCGACCGGGACUUGUGAACAGUGAGCAUAUGGGCAUAAAGGCAUCAAAUAAAUAGGAAAAACUCGAGUAGGCGGCUGACCCUCUUGAACCUCCCCUUUCAGAAACUCCUAUGGCCGAUCUUCCUUCUUAGACUCUAUUCCAUCCCGCUUAUCCUUUUGAAUAUCAUUGAUGAAUUGAUAGUUUUGCUACCGCCACUCCUGAAGAACGCCUGUUACGUUACUCUCUUAAUAAGGAGCGAGUCUCUCUUGAUUAAACGCUUAACGGACUAACUGGGGGUGAUUGGAUCGAGGUUCAAUAGGUAUGAUUAAAGAAAGAAUAGGUUGGUAUAGAAUAAGAUUGGGUCCUGAUGGUCUGCAUGAUUCACAAGAUAGACGGAGAGAGGUUCUGUUAACUGUGUGUUUUCCUUCCUCCCCUUGUCAGUCGAGUGCUUACGAGCAUCAAUCCUUUUCUAUUUCACUAAUUCUCACUGUCCCUAGAUAGAAUAGAUGAGAUUCCAGAAAGGGUAUGUAUGUCCCUAGAUAGAAUAGAUGAGAUUCCAGAAAGGGUAUGUGAGAUUCAAGGGUAUGUCCCUAUAGAUAGAAUAGAUGAGAUUCAAGGGUCUGGUCUGUCCCUAGAUUCUAUUUAAAGGUAUGUUCCUAGAUAUAAUGGAUUCUAUUAAGGGGUCUGUCCCUAGCCUGGAUAUGAUAGAAUCUAUUUGAUGGUGGAUUCGCCUAGAUAUGAUAGAAUCUAUUUUAGGGUGGAUUCAUGGAUGAGGUCGAGUGGUCUCAGUUGGAGAUGGUAUAUUGCACUAGUUUAUGGAUUGAACGAGAUUAACACUUGGAACAUAGGACAGGAAAAACAAGGGUCGAGACUGAUAGGCUGGCUUGGGGGAAUAAUAAUACUGUGGCCUCCGCAGAACGGAUUGGAUGCUCCCCUAUUAAUUAGAAUAUGCAAAGCCAAUGGAAUCGAGCUGACUAAGAUGGAUGUAAAGUACUUGUUUAAGUCCUAGCAACAAAUCUUCUGUUCUUUUCUUUCUUUGCGGGAUCGGUUUCAUUCCUAUCACUUUGCUUUGUUAUCAGCCCGGUAGAAGUCAGAGGGUUCCCUUGAUUGUUAUCGCUACCGGUGGAAGGAAGAGGGCAGUUCAAAUACCUUGAUUGAGACGAGACGGUAUAAGAGGGCAGCGUCAGCUGCUACCUUGAUUGAUAGCUAUUAUGAUCAGAUUCCAUGUAUCUGGAUGGAGUCUUCUAUCAUUUAUGAAAAACACUCCUGUCCUUACUGCCAAACUGUAGUAAGCUAUAGUAUUUUGCUUGUUUGCUUGUGUUGCUUCUUCACAGCAUAGCUUCAACACUCUCAACUCUACUUAAGAAAAUAAUACAUAUAAGUAACAAACGGUGAACGAAACUCUACCCUUGGCGCGCCCUAAAAGAGAAGUCCGUUAAUGUACCCCGGAAAGUAACCUAACGCUUGCACAUUCUAUACAAGAAUAAAGGUCAACAACUAGCGCUUAAGUAUCACAUUCUAGAAGAAAGGUCAACAACUAGGUAAACAAACGGAAUCAGAAUAAUAUCAUUGAGUGCCGGAGUAACAAAGCACUAGUGUGCGCUACUAAUGCACAACUCGCUAACGCAGGAGCUCAACUCAAGCUUCUAACUCAACGACUAACGCAAUUGAAUAUCACGUGUAACAUAGUUUCUAGUUGAUUAAACAAACAAGCAUUCUUAUUAACUGGGUAGCAAAGUCGACUCAACGGGCUGAGGUAAAUAAAUCCGAAUGGAAGAGAGCUCUUAAUACGCCAAGCCAAGAUAACCAUCACAACUUCUCAAGCCAAGAUAACCAGAACACAACGCUUCUAAAUUGAUUCUCUAAUAACUCGCCCGCCUAUAAUGAUAAGAUAAUAUAAGAAAGCCUUCACUGAACUUAUAAGUAUAGGCCGGUCUGCAACUAUCAAGGUUUUUUCCACUUUACGAGAUACAGCUAUCGCAGCUACAGUUUGGCCUUUCAGUCACGCGUACCCUAAACUCCAAAACCAACUUCAGGCUAAUGCACAACUCAAAGAACUCUGUUAGCCCAUACGAUCAAAUGGUUAUUCACAUAACUCAACAAACAACGGAACAAGCAAACUAACCGCAUUGCUUCUAUUGCUUGCUUCUUUUCUGAACCCUAGAUUUCAGUACUCAUUUAUUCUCUCAGCAGCCAGCAGCUGACGCUGACCUUGCUUUUUGACCUUGCUUGUUUUGUUCGAUAACUCACUGACGUCUGCUUGUUUACUUACUUAUGCCUUUCAGAAUGACUAUGGGCAUCCGAGUCAGCUAAGCUUCUAGGGAUGAUAAAACAAUCGUCUUCUCUCUUCCUACUCGAUCUUCUAGGGCGAAUUCAGAUCUUAGCUUUCCCGGUCGCUGGAGCAGCCGCCACUCUCCCUUCGCUCUGGAACACCAAUGAUGAUGAAGAUAAUCCUUCUGAUUCUGCUCUUAACAACUUCUUCUGGUAGUAAGAUACUCUUUCUUUUCUUCUCUUCUUCUGCUCUUAACUACACCUAUAUUUAUUGCGAAAAUAGACUCGCCUUUCUACAAGCAAGACAAAGAAGCAAAGCAAGAGCGUGAAGUUCCGCGAAGAGGGAAAGAACGUAGCUAGAGCAGUUCCAGCAGUAUUUCCUGAUGUGUCUUGCGGAUGCUGGUCUUUUUGGAGUUCUCGCAGUAUUUCCUGAUGUAUCUUGCUUGCGGGUGCUGUCACUCAUGCAGGAGCCUCUACACCAGGUGUCAUGCAAUAACUAUCAAAGUGGCAAACGCGGUGGCUUCGGGCAACAACGGGCAUUUCCCAUUCUUCUCUUAGUGGGUGGGACAGCCAGAGAUGUAGGGUCUAGUGGUUUUCAGCCUAGAUAAGCUACAGCGGCAAAUCACUUCUUACGAGUUCCCAACACAACUACGCGUAAUACUUUAAACAGGUGUGGCUGGAUGCUUCUUCUCAAUAGGAAUAGUAGUCCAAAUCCAAGCAAGCUUAUUAUGAACAUCUAUUGGAGUCGAUCAUUUCCAAGAUCCAAUUCUAGUUUCUUAUUAUGUAAUGGAAUAGCUUUACAAUCUUCCGUUUUACGCUGUAGCUUAAAGGAGAAAAUGUUCUUGGUGGAUGCAGGACCAGGUACCCCACUCAAUUGUAUGGAAGAUGAGCUUACAGGAGUGCCAAUAAACCGAGCCACGAGCCACAGGUUUGAGAAUAAGGUGGGAUCCCAGAAUGUAGUGGCAGGUGACUCACAGAUUCCAGAGCGGAUUAAUGAUAGAUUCUUAAUGGAUCUAGUGGCCGGUCAAUCACAGAUCAAAGAGCGAGCUGUCUUAAGGUUUCAUGAUUUUUGGGGAUCCCUGGAUGUAUUGGCUGGUGAACCGCUUCUUCUUCCACGAAGAUUAAGACAAAACCGAGCUUGGAUAGAACUGCAGAAGAAUUGGCGAACGAAUAAGAAGGUCAAAGGCUUCAUUAUUAACAAAGUCAAAGGUGGUUAUUCAGUAGCCAUCGCGGGUUUCAUUACCUUUCUUCCAUUCUUUCCUCUCAACACUCAAAAGAUAGCGAAUGAUAGAUUCACCAUUGAGAGCAUUAAUCCCAAUAGGAGGAAAAUUGUGGUGUUCUAACAGCAGUAGAUCCAAGUAAGAUCAAAAUCCAAUCAAAAGGAAAGGCUCUCAGCUCCUUUCUUUUGUUGAGGGAACUUCUUACUGCUUGCUCUUUGAUAAGGUAAGCAGAGGAGCAUUGUAUGCUUUUUUGACCCUUGUCCCAUCCAUUCUAGAAGUCAACAACAGCUUCAUCUCGGCUUAGCUUACGGCUUCAUCUUCGUCAUAGAACAUAAAUAGUCCAUCCCGUGCUCAAGCUUUCUCUUCUAGGUUUGGUCCUACUUAUUAUUCUUUACGAAAAACAAACAAACCCCAAUUCUCAACCGGCGUGGCACAGCCUUCUUCUCAAUAGAACAGGAAGAGGAGCAAAUAAGGACCACCAAAAGUAACGACAACCAAGAUAGGCAUAGUGAUUCGAUCCUUUGAGAACCCUAUUUUGAAGAACCACUAUUUGUUGGGGCUUACCCCUAACACACUACAGAUUGGAUUGCCUGAUUCACGAGUCUUAUAUACAUUGUUACGAUCACCUUUUAUUGAUCAAAAGUCCAGAGAACAAUUUGAAAUGAGAAUAAAGAAACAAUAUCUGGUCAUAAAAACAGAAAGGCAUGAUUCAUUGCGCAAGAAGUUCUUUCGGUUAAAACGCCGUGCGACUCGGAGAACAUAAGACUCUUUUGUAAGGCUUCUAAUCUUGCCUUGCCGACGGAAUGCUCCUACCCCACCAUGCCUAGCCCUUUCCCUUAAUCAUAGGAGAGGAGGUAUGAAGCGUGGAAAAGAAUGCAAUCAGUGUAUAUGACAUCAUCAUGUAACCUUAAGGAGUGGAGGUAGCAAAACUCAACAUUGAUCAACGCGAGUGAACUGUGCUUAGACGCUUCGUCAAACCGCACCACAUCUACAAGAGGAGCAAAUUGAUGAGUGGGCUUCCCCUUUCGAUUCACGGAAUGUGAUCUGAGACACGAUGGGAGUUUGCGUGCCUCGGUAGGCAAGAGAUCACCGGAGUAUAGCACAAGAUCGCCUUUUCUUGCUGCCAUGGGGUCAACCUGUUAACAAGGUAAACCCAAUGGGAUGGGAACCAAAAAACAGUAGGGUACCGCAUUGGGCAGAAGACGAUUCAAAAAGCGAAGGCUCACCCUUGGAAGUGCCGGGUGAGAUAGGCAACAGGUAGCUUGCUUCCAUGCCGUCUACGAGGAAUCAAUAUCUCUUUGCCGGUGCUGACUUGGAUCUCGGGUGACGGAAUAAGGCGGCCAGAAGCCACUUUUCGUUUACAGCUUACUUAGCGGGCGAAGCUUUACCGAUAUAGGCAGUAAGCUUGGCCACAGCGAAGCGCUUACCAAACGCUAAAUCAAGAGGGCCUUCGACACUUGAGCCGUAUGCGGGGGAACUCGCACGUUCGGUUCUUUGGGGGGGAGACCGUCGGUUGAGCCAUUCCAUCCCAAUAGCGUAUAUUUGGAGCUCAAUAUUCAAUCCGUCUUUCUUGCAAGACCCGUUUAGAUAAGGGAAAACUCAAGAGAUUGCUUCGAAAGCUAUCGAAAAUACCUUGAAUACACUAACCGAAUCAUAUCAUAAACCAGAACCACAUUGGAUAUUGUGUCUUGGGUUCUUUUGGGAUAAUGGAUAACAAAUGUAUUUUCUUACGCGCUAUAUCCCCUGCUGUUUGUUGUGGCUUUCUCAUUCUUGUACAACACCCAACCUCUGGAGUUGAUUCAUUCUGUCAUCAUUGUACCACUAAAUGUUCAGGACGAGGGCAAGUCCCCAUUUGGAAGAUGCUACUCCGGUGACUUUGGUCCGCAACCGACAUCAACUAUUUCGUUUCGUUCGUAUAGAAGUCUGAGUGGAUCAGUAGCUUCUGCAUAAGCAGUGAAUUAUAAGACUGCGUGGAAGCUGGUCCGGGUUUCUGCAAUAGGGAGCAGAGCAAGUAGGUCUUCGGCACGCCACACUUGAAGAGCUUUCCCGCUCGCUUUCUGACGACACUGUCCUUUACCUGAGCACUGUUACACUGUAGUGAAUGUACAGGCAUUCAAAUAGUUUCUACGAAGUCGUAUAUUUAGGUAGGACUUAUGAGAUGAGAACUUACAACCACUAGGCAACCAAAGUCAUUAUCUCAAAUCUCUAAAGUGAAUUGAGUUAAGGGAGGACCUUGGGGUGUCGUGGAAUAAUUUGGUUCGAUUCCCGUUAUACGUGAUGUGGCAAAAAACACUUAUGGAAGGGGAAAUUUCAUGCCUGCAUUAAGAUUUCAAGCGUGUCGUCUACUUCUAGGAAAUGUUCGGAACAGAGAACUUUCUCUAAUACAACGCAGCAUUCUCCGAAGAUUGAGGAACAAGAGGAGAUCAAUCCAAAUCAAUCUUUCUAGGAGAGAAAAUCGAAACUGUUACAUUAAAUCACAAACAACACGAAAGUUGUCCCUUUAUUAUGGAGAUUUACCUACAAGGGGGCUUCUUCGGAGAGGAAGAGAACGAACUUCAUAUAUCCCUUUUCUACUCAAUCAAGAAACAAGAUCGGACGUGAUUCUGGUUCGUCUCCAUUUUAGUAAAACCAUUCCUCAAGCAAGGCAGCCGAUAAGUCAUCGAAAGGUUAGUUUGAAUAAUGGACAGGUCAGCAUAACAAGUUCUCAAGUUUCCCACGGUGAUCUAAUAUCUUUUCCAGAAACUAUAGCCGAAAUACAAAUAAGGAGAUCUUUCUAUAUCGACAUAUCAGUUGGCAAAAUAAUAGGGAAAUUCCUGCCGGUCAGAAUGUGGAGAAGAACCAAAACAGAAUGGUUCCGCUUACUCAAAACAAAGAGGGGGUGCCGUCUACUACUCCAAUCCGGGUUUUUGCAAGAGUUGCGUGAUUCUAUGCAAGAAGAAGACUUAGAAAGAACAAAGAAGUUUGGAUCCGCUAAAGUAUGCUUAGGCAGUUCCUUCGCUGAGCACAACAGAAUGAAGAAGAAUUUGUUUCAUUUCAAAUACUUUUUCUUAUUGAAGAGAAGGAAGGAGAAAAACCGAAAUCCUCCAACUCUUUCCAUAUGCGCUUUUGUUGACAAGUAUAAAGUAUAUUGUAAUUCGACCUAUUGCUCUGGAUCCCCUUUUACUAGGAAGAUAAGAAUCAAAAGGAUCGAACUACCUACUCAUUAUUCGGAGGUAAAUCAUAGAACACCAAAAGCUGUGGUAUCUUAUGGACCUAACUUAGGGAACAUCCCUCACGACAUAAGAUUGAAAGAUCCAAACCUUCCUCUUUAGAGCUGAUAAGUAAGAAAACGUGGCCAAAGCAUAUAAGCCCUCAUAGGGAAAUAUCCAUCCUGGGAGUAUAUCUCUCCUUAUAGAGAGGGUCUCCCUUUGGAUAGAAAUCAAUAUGUAAGACCGUCGCAGUCGACUAUAAGUAUCAGAUUGCUGGCCUGAGAGAAGGCAGUCUCUCUCGGGAAAACAUUGCCCAAUUUCUCUUCUUUCUUUUCACACAGGCGAAUAAAAGACACUAUGAACGAACAUGAGUUUCAAAUGCUCAAAGGGGAACACACUUUAGACAAAGGGAUUUGUUGUCAGGAGGAGUUUGGACUUUUCUUAGAAAGUCAAGCUCUUGACAAGUCCCAAGUGGAUUCAUAGGUCAUUAAUUCAUGAAUUCUUGUAAAGCUCUUGACAAGUCCCAAGUGGAUUCAUAGGUCAUUAAUGAAUGAAUUCAUUCCUCAUUUGUUGACUACAGAGAGGCGGAACAAGACUCAUUUUGUUGCUGUAGAUCCUGAUUAAUAGCGGCAGUGAGCUUUCUAGAAAACCACUUCUCUUUCCCGUCUACCAACUCUGUAGACUUUCUGUAUAAGAAAAGAAAAGCCUAUCAAAUUAUAUCUGAUAUUUAUAAAGAAUAAGAGUGGUCUGGUCCACAGAUAUAGGAUUCUGUUUAGAAGUUUGAGAGCAGUAGAGCCAGUAAACCUAUACUGAGGGGAAUUGACUUACUUACUUAAAUGUGGAAGAUUGCUCAUAUCUAAUCCCUUAUACUUGGCCUAUUAAUUAACUUGUUGUUACUAUAUCCGUUCUUUAAUUAACUUGUUGUUACUAUAUCCGUUCUUCUGCUCCCGUUAGCUUAGUGUUUCAAGCAGACAAAAGUAGUGAGUGACUUAGAAGCGGUUUCUCUAGGGUGUAGUGGUCCGGUCCUGUUUCAUCUGUCUUUGUUUUAUUAGUUGACACGCGUAGUAUUAGUUUACACUGGUCCAGACUUAUUAAUGGUUGCGAUAGCAGUAGCAAGUCAAGCAGAAGGUAUCUCAACUAUGAAUCAGCAGGAUCAGAGGAAGAAUUCUAAGAAAGAUCCUUAUUGAGAGUCGAGCGCAGAAGAAUCACCUCUCUCGUCCAAAAACGGAUUCCACUUUUCUCUAAAGUUGCCAACUAACAAGCAGAGCUACGGCAGGACAAUAUGGCAAUUCCUCAUCACCCAUAGGAAAUGACUGGAAAUCUGAGUUGAAGCGUUAACCGACACCACUACCCGGGCCGGGCCCUCAAACGGAAGUAUACCACCGCACAGAUAGAAUAUGGUUUUUCGGUAGAACUGCUUAUAUACGAUACUUAAUAGAAUACGGGUUCGUUUGUUCCACUAUCUGCUCUCGAGUCGCCAACACUUAUUGUUUGAGUUUGGGAAUGUUUUAUUACUUAAGUGUAUCUUAUGUCAGUGAUAUCUUAAGUCUAUCUUAUGUCUGUGAUAUUAUAUUAUUCCAUUCUGAAAGCCGUUGCGCAAGUUCUCGAGUUACUAGAAUCAGGUGUUACUAGUUUAUAUGAUCAGUGUGCACUCAUCAAUGAUAUUUCAACGAGCUCGCUAAGGGAACUACACCUCUGAUUCAGCUACACCUCUUCUCUUCUCUUCUCUUCUUUACCGCCUCUAAUGUUUGCAGAAUGUCUUUCAUCUUUCGAUUCGGCUUCUAUAUCGGAUUCCAAUAAUUCUGAACUGAUGUGAUAUACCCGAGGAAAGUCAACAACUCGCAUUGCGACAUGAAAUUGAGACUCAGUUAGCGCACGACCUCUCUUUGAAGAACUGCUUGUGGCAGACUGAACUCUUACUGCGGAUUCUUGAUACAAAGGCUUUCGCCCCUCAUUCUAUUCCAUAUUCUCUUACUGCCCCACAAGUAGGACUUUCCUUCACUCGCUUGACGAUGAAACUAGAACAGUCAAUUGCGCCUGAAAUCCCCUGCCUUAAAAGAUGCAAAAGCACUUGCUUGUUCCUAAGCUUGUUUAGUAGUGACUUGGCGGGUUGGUCUUAAAGUCAACAAGAGGCAAAAGGUAUGCUGUGUAUUUACAUACAUCUAUGCCAGGUGAUCCAUUUCUAGUUGAUAGUUACCCCAGUAGUAGGAAAUGUAGUUGCUCGCCUCUAAGCUACCUGCCGCUCUAACACCCCCUUAUAUACAAGUUCACUGUUGUACUGCCGCUACACAUUAGUAUACGCUUGUCGGGGCUUACUUUACUAUAUCUAAGGCUUUUACUGCCGGGGCUUACUUUACUAUAUCUAAGGCUUUUACUGCCGGGUUUAGCUCUUCUACUAAUGAGUCAAACUCUGUCCCCUCGCCCUCUGCCUGGCCUGGUUCACUCUAAUACCGAUGAGCUAAAUCAUAUCCCCGGCACGCCGACUACUAUGUUGAUUUACUUAUAUUUCUCAUAUGUUUUAUCGUAUUCUAUUUGAUAUUAGUUUCUUAGGCUCCACUAGGUUCUUUUUCGAGUAGUUUCUUCUAGUUUAUUGGUUCCAAAACUAUAUGACUUUUGAUCUUUUCUAUUUCUAUGUUAGUUCCGGUGUGAAGUCAAUGCUUUCCCCGAGCAAAGAGAUAGGUUUGGUCAAGUGGCUAGUAAGCUAAAGAAUGAGAAGGCAUAGCUAAAGACUUUAUGCUGGGGCACUCUUAUUGUAAUCCAGGAUGAGCUAGUGAGGGAACCCGGUGGAGUUUCACUCGUUGGCGUAGGAAUGACCUUGGAAGUUGGAAUGAAAGGACCGAGUCACAGAAUUGACACUAUGUUUCAAAGGGCAGGUGCGUAGAUCAGCUCUAAGGGCCAAGCAACGACUUAUAAAUGUUCUCCUAAUGGGCCAAGCUACUACGAACAAGUACUACCGGUCUGACUUGCUAGCGCAUAUAGUAUAGGAGUCAAGAGUUAAGGAAAGCUCUGCUCGAAAGUAAGCAGCAAGAUGUUUUUCCAGAAAUAUGACAAGUGGGAGUUUGACUCGGUGCAAGCAAGUUCCAUCCUUGGCUUUACUGGUUAACUCUCCAAAUCUUAGUUAACAGUCUUGUCUUAACCGAACAGCCAACACCGAUAAGUACUCUCCGGCGUGAAAGCGGAAUCCGGAGAAGAUCUGGAUCAGAUGAAUCCGCAAGUCCUGUCGUCAUUGAACUUAAUAAGUGAGUUGGUAACCACAGAGCAGGGUAGCUUGUUUCCCGACGCCCCAGUUCCGUUGUCAACGAGAGAAGAAUGCCGAGAUGCGAGAGAAUAUACAGUGCUUGUCAAGUCUAAGUUCGGUGCUUGGCUUGCUUUAUGUUAAGGGUAGAAAAGAGAGUUGGGACUCGACUGAAGAAUGAAUGAAAUCGUAGUCCUAUUUCUGCUGCGCUAAGUCCUGAUUGUCCUGCUUGCUGUAGCUCCUCUUUAGUCGGAUAGUCCCACUGUAGCUCCUUCCCUUGUUGUAGAGAGAGAGGUUUUUGUCCUUCCCGAGCCAAGUAGUGAGUCGGCCUAUUCUUCUUGUCCUGCUGGAGCUCAAGCAAAGUACUCUCGUGAAAUACCUGUUCCAAUUCUAGGAUCUGGUAAGGAAGCAGAAUCAAGAAAGUAGACAUCAACGAGAUCAUAUCAUAAUAUAGACUAUUGGCACCACUAUCCCAAACGAUCUAUCUAAUCUUAACUGCUUACAGAAACUAGAAACUUGAAGAAGAAGAUAAUAUCACGUUCCACAUACAUAUGGAAUGAAGUAAAAACACCUCAAUGCUAUCCUUUUGCUUCCAUACUAUAUUACAAGACUGCUAUCCUUUUCUCUUUUUCACUCUAUAAUGUUCUAAUAUUUCUCAGAUACGGAUCCUGUUUCAUAUAAUACUCCUGAUUCUUUACCUAUUUCUAUACUAGACUCCCUUUCCUUUCCCUUUGAUUUUGGCUACUUGACCUCUCCUUGAAGUUCAGAAUUCAUUGAAUCUUUCCGAGUCGUUUAACCUAUGCCCAUGUUUAAGGACUGGGGGCGUAAGAAGGUCGGGCAAUUCUCUAAGUCAGGCAAUCGAUUUCUUUUCAUAUGAUUAAAGUAGAACAGAAAGCCAAUGGAACAGCUCAAUCCUCUGUCUAAUUACCAAGUUGUUCUAUACUUGACUAAACUAGCUUCUUUCGAACAGCUUCUUCAGUAGGGAAAGCUAUGACCACCUUGAUUACCUGCUGACUUUCGAAUGGAAUCUUUGACUUGCGCUAACGGAGUGUAGUCGGCCAACACUGAUUCAUUAUCAGGUCGACAAACUGAUGAAACUAUACCACAAGGAGCAGAUCUCGCAUCUGAUCUUACAACAUAAAGAAACUAGUCUACAACACUUGUGGAAUGUCAUUGCCUCUCAAGAACUGGAAUGGUAGCUUCAGAUCCUUUACUCUCUUCUGCUAACUCGAAAUCAGGUGUUGUAAUAAGUUCAUCUUAUGAAUGGAGUGUACCUAGUAUAGACCCAUGGAGCGGUAACAACACAUCUGACUUUAGGGAAAACUUAUAGACCUACGGUAGGAUACGGAGUUGAGAGAAUUCGCUGUAGAAAGUAAGUAAGGCACGGCACUCGAAAGAUUCAAUCCAAUCCUUUGCUCGAACUCAAUUUCUCCUCUUAAUACAACAGAUUCAGUUGUUCCUACUCCUUCUAUUGUUCUAGCCUCUGAUCAAGUAUCUUCUCCAUUCUCUUGUUCGCACAGAGAAUCUAGUUUAUUUACCUACUCCGGGGACAGUCUCUCCAUCUUCUCUAAGCCAAGACCGGAACUCAUAUUUGUGGUUUUCCAUUCUUCAAUUCCAGGUAUCAAACGGAAUUCUUAAAGGCAGAAGGAGCACACGGUUGGUUUAGAGCCCAAGAACACACGGUUGGUUAAGAGCCCGUGGUGGAUUACCUCAUUAUAUAAAACAUGGCUAAGUCCUAUCAUUCUGAAAUUGCGUACUGCGCUAAGUAAACUAGAUUCUGCAAUUCAAACGGAAAGAACACUUGGUUAGUUACCCGGUUCUAUGAGAUCCCUCUGGCUAAUUAUUCCCGGACUGGGUGUUGAGUAAGUACAUUCGAAAUCGUACCCUAGCGCUUCAAAGCCAGAGUACUAUCCUUGCCUUGCACCCUCACUCAUUCACUCCCCGCUUCUGACCAAUACCCAGCUUAGAAUUCUUUACCAACUUAAUAUCCCGGUCUCGCUCUUGGAACUGUGCAUCCUCACCGGAUUCUGUUGUCGGUGUACACUUCCCUGCUCCUUUACCUGCCUCCAAUCCUUCCUACCCUUACCUUCAUUCUGAAACUAGACCUUCCCAUAUAAGAGAAAGGUUCCGGGUUAAAUCACUUAUAUAAGAGAAGGUUCCGGGUUCAAUCACGUAUAUAAGAGGUUCAAUCACUUAUAUGUUUGGUUUCCAUUCAAUUAGUUCUCUGUCAUCUCUUGGUUGAUCCCUUGCAAAUAAGACGGAAUUUCAUCUAGUGUGUUUCUACGUUCCAACUGUUUCUUUUCCUGACUUAGAGUAAAUCCAACCCUAUACUCUCGCAUUCAAAACAAUAACUACGCUGACAACAAGGAAUUAGGAAACGGAAAUCAAGAUAGUAAAGUAGGAUUUUCAGAAUGGAAUUGAGGAGCAAUAACAAGAUCCGGAGUUGUAGUUAAGUAUCCAAGAUAACAUACAAGAAUAAGUGUAUUUCCAGAAUUCUAUACUAUAUCCCUUUGGCUCAAUAAGAGAGAUAUUAAUGGAAAUGAAACAAUCAACGGAACCAGCAAGCUCAAGCGCAUCUGUACUGAAGCUUAAUACUUGUUCUGGGCACGGCAAAGCGGGACAAUCCGAAAGUGUUGGCGACUCGAAUCCCAGUUCUGUAAAUGGAAUUGAGGCAUCCAUCCCUACUAGGUUGAUAAGUUAAGCACCGAACCUUUACUUCGCAACGUUACGUUUCUAUACAACACACACUGCAUCCCUUUCUUUUGUCGACUUCUCCUGCAUAAGUAGUAUCAAUCCCUUUCUUUUGUCGACUUCUCCUUCAUAAGUAGUUUCAACAGAAUAAAAAGAAACUAGAUAAGGAUAAAAGGCUUUAGCAUAAGAAGAAGCUUUAUCCGGAUAAAGAGGCUUGAGCAAGUAGUUAUUCCGUUUCUGCGCUCGAUGAUACAUUCCAUUCAUUCUUUUUGUUGCGGGAAGGAACUAAAGGUGGAGUUCGGGAAGGGAGUUGAUAGUUUACAGAAAAGCUAAUAAACAAGUAGUAGAUCCAAAGAAAGCAAGAGAUGAGUCAAGUAAGUCGUCAGCAAAAGAUCUGGAUCAUAAGCCAUUACUAGUUUUCCUGGCGCUAGUUCAAGUCCAGUUUUCUCCUUGGUUCACGAAAAAAAGAGAAGUGGACCUGAGCCCGCGAUAGCAAGAGGAACCAUAGACUAAAGAGAAUAGAAAUGAGUCAAUGAAGACUUUCUUUAGGACUGAAGCCGAUCCUUUAGUAGAUGCCACAGUCACGUCAACUCAAGUAAGCGUUAGCGCCUGCAUACUCACUUCACUUCACUUUACUUUUCUCUUGCUUGCCACAAUCCUUUCCAUUAUAAAGGAAGACCAACCAAGACUGACUUGGGAAGACUAACCAAGACUGACUUGCAGGGACUAAUUCCUCGCUUGCAACUACUUUAAUAGAGACUAUAUCUAUGACACCUUAUUCAUUAUAUACUAUAUCUAUGUUAUUCAUUAAUUACUUUAUCUAUGACUCUAUGACACCUUAUUCAUUAAUAGAGACUAUAUCUAUGACACCAGAAGGGCAGGGAACAUACCAUACCAAUAACAUACUAUACUCUACGGUCGGCAAUAACAUACUAUACUCUACGGUCGGCUAGGAAUGAGGAAGCCGUCAAAGCCCCUCGACACCCAUAUAGGGAGAAUUGAGCAUCAAGAAAAGCACGAGAUUGAUGAUCCAAAAGAAACUAACAACACUUUGGAUUUCAAGAAGGAGCAGCUAGUAGUCCUUCCUUAUCAUUCUUCAUAACUUAGACUCUCAUAUAUGACCGAUGAAGGGCUGAAAAGGAUGUUUCAAUCGAAGCUUCUUGGGUAGGAUCUUUGCGCCAGAUAGUGGGGAGUUUCCUUCUCUCUGUCCCUAUACCCGAAUCGUACCUAUUCCAUUGGUUACCCGAAUCGUACCUAUUCCAUUGGUCAAGGGCUAGCUCCCCUUUCUCUUCCCCAAUUUAGCAGAAUGAGUAGGAGCUGUGCUUUUACGCGAUAAAGAAAGACGAACACUUGUGGCUUUUACCCUUGGCCCAACAAACUAAUGCAGUAAAUGAGCCGAUCAAUGAUUGCGCGAGGGAAGAUAGGGGUUGGGGAAAGACAAGAGAACUAAUUGAUGAAACCUACUCUCCAGGACAACUUCUUGCGGCGCUUUUCUACUUAUAUCAUAAUAGACGGGUUUAACCAUACAUACGAGCACUGGCUGGGAAUGCCACUACUGGGAUUUAUACGAAGGCAGGUGGGAAUGGGCCUGUAGAUCCAAAAAGAAAGAUGUAAACCCUAUUUAUUGCAAAGAUAGUAAGAUAACACUGCUGACAUAUUAAAUAAAGUAACAAAACAGCUUCAAGUUUUCUGACAUAUCACUUUCAUCACUCAUAUCGGUCUCUGUUGUUUGAGGGAAGAAUGGUCUUACUCAAAGGUUCUGCCUGCUCAGUUUGCUGUCUUUACUAAUAGCUCCGAUAGAAUCUCUUUUUGCGGUGAUUAGACUAGAUCAGUAAGAAAAUGGUAUCCAAACCUGUAAAUGGCUAUCUUAUUCUUCAUGGCACCCUUGUGUAUUGACAUGAGGAGUGCCUUUUCUCGAGAUUGUUGGCAUCCAAUUGUAAUCACAUCUCAUGGUGAAAGAGAAGGGAACGAGACUCAGGGCGGUCACCCACCUGUAAGAUAUAAGAAAAUGCUAUUCCAACCCACCAGGAGGAGAGAGAU